CCUACGGGAGGCAGCAGUGAGGAAUAUUGGUCAAUGGACGGAAGUCUGAACCAGCCAAGUAGCGUGCAGGAAGACGGCCCUAUGGGUUGUAAACUGCUUUUGUAUGGGGAUAAAGUCAAUCACGUGUGAUUGUUUGCAGGUACCAUACGAAUAAGGACCGGCUAAUUCCGUGCCAGCAGCCGCGGUAAUACGGAAGGUUCGGGCGUUAUCCGGAUUUAUUGGGUUUAAAGGGAGCGUAGGCCGGAGAUUAAGUGUGUUGUGAAAUGUAGACGCUCAACGUCUGACUUGCAGCGCAUACUGGUUUCCUUGAGUACGCACAACGUUGGCGGAAUUCGUCGUGUAGCGGUGAAAUGCUUAGAUAUGACGAAGAACUCCGAUUGCGAAGGCAGCUGACGGGAGCGCAACUGACGCUGAAGCUCGAAGGUGCGGGUAUCGAACAGGAUUAGAUACCCCAGUAGUC
This 460-nucleotide ribosomal RNA is filed under the name uncultured Prevotella sp. Its description in RNAcentral is "bacterial SSU rRNA". It matches the Rfam family "Bacterial small subunit ribosomal RNA", at positions 338 to 795 of the family's 1533-position model. Lineage: Bacteria; Pseudomonadati; Bacteroidota; Bacteroidia; Bacteroidales; Prevotellaceae. The record is from RNAcentral.